This 236-nucleotide long non-coding RNA is filed under the name Manihot esculenta (cassava). Its description in RNAcentral is "long non-coding RNA (MESC_LNC009185)". Lineage: Eukaryota; Viridiplantae; Streptophyta; Magnoliopsida; Malpighiales; Euphorbiaceae. The record is from RNAcentral.
UUAUGUAAACCAGCUCAACAUAUGUUGUAAUUGCCCAUUGGGGCAUUGUUGAGAUCCCACAGAGGGAUCGAUGUUUAUGAUUAUGUCUAUGUUCAGUGCAUGCACAGGUUGAGUUUGGUUGAUGUAUUUGGAAAGAAAAGUUUUAAUUUUUAUGUAUAUUGUUGAUCAUGUAUGGGAUUAUACAGGUUUACAGGUUAUAUGUCAGGCUUGCUACGGGUCCCGGCGGCCUUAAGCCG